UUUUGUCGUAAGGUGGAUUUUCCCGACGGGUGAGUACACGUGUGUACCUGCCCCUGACUCUGGGAUAAGCCCGGGAAACUGGGUCUAAUACCGGAUAUGACUUUUGACCGCAUGGUUGAGGGUGGAAAGAUUUAUCGGUUGGGGAUGGACUCGCGGCCUAUCAGCUUGUUGGUGAGGUAAUGGCUCACCAAGGCGACGACGGGUAGCCGGCCUGAGAGGGUGACCGGCCACACUGGGACUGAGACACGGCCCAGACUCCUACGGGAGGCAGCAGUGGGGAAUAUUGCACAAUGGGCGCAAGCCUGAUGCAGCGACGCCGCGUGAGGGAUGACGGCCUUCGGGUUGUAAACCUCUUUCAGUAGGGAAGAAGCGAAAGUGACGGUACCUGCAGAAGAAGCGCCGGCUAACUACGUGCCAGCAGCCGCGGUAAUACGUAGGGC
Molecule: ribosomal RNA, 440 nt
Filed under: Glutamicibacter protophormiae
Lineage: Bacteria; Bacillati; Actinomycetota; Actinomycetes; Micrococcales; Micrococcaceae
Description: bacterial SSU rRNA
Rfam family: Bacterial small subunit ribosomal RNA
Source: RNAcentral